CCUACGGGUGGCAGCAGUAGGGAAUCUUCCACAAUGGACGAAAGUCUGAUGCAGCCAAGCCGCGUGAGUGAUGAAGGGUUUCGGCUCUGUAAGCUCUGUUGGUAGUGGAGUAAGAUAGUGGUAGUAACUGGCCUUUUUUUGACGGUAUUUAUUUAGAACGUCACGGCUAACUACGUGACAGGCGCCGCGGUAAUACGUCGGUGGCGAGCGUUGUCCGGAUUUAUUUGGUGUAAAGGGAGUGCAGGCGGUUCAAUAAGUCUGAUGUGAAAGCCUUCGACUCAACCGGAGAAUUGCAGCAGAAACUGGUGAACUUGAGUGCAGAAGAGGAGAGUGGAACUCGAGGUGUAGCGGUGAAAUGCGUAGAUAUAUGGAAGAACACCAGUGGCGAAGGCGGCUCUCUGGACUGCAACUGACGCUGAGGCUCGAAAGCAUGGGUAGCGAACAGGAUUAGAUACCCGAGUAGUC
Molecule: ribosomal RNA, 465 nt
Filed under: uncultured bacterium
Lineage: Bacteria
Description: partial 16S ribosomal RNA
Rfam family: Bacterial small subunit ribosomal RNA
Source: RNAcentral